Molecule: non-coding RNA, 140 nt
Organism: Brachypodium distachyon (stiff brome)
Lineage: Eukaryota; Viridiplantae; Streptophyta; Magnoliopsida; Poales; Poaceae
Source: Rfam
UGAGUAUUCCUCCGUCCAACAAAAGAUGCCUCAAGUUUGUCAAAUUUUGGAUGUAUCUAGACAUGACUUAUUGUAUAGAUGCAUUCAAAUUUGGUCAAGUCAAAGUUGAGACAUCCUUUGUUGGACGGAGGGAGUAGGAU